Molecule: ribosomal RNA, 292 nt
Filed under: uncultured bacterium
Lineage: Bacteria
Description: partial 16S ribosomal RNA
Rfam family: Bacterial small subunit ribosomal RNA
Source: RNAcentral
GUGUCAGCCGCCGCGGUAAGACAGAGGGUGCAAACGUUGUUCGGAAUUACUGGGCGUAAAGCGCGUGUAGGCGGCUCGGCAAGUCGGGUGUGAAAGCCCUGGGCUUAACCUAGGAAGUGCACUCGAAACUGCCAAGCUUGAGUUCUGGAGAGGAAGGCGGAAUUCUCGGUGUAGAGGUGAAAUUCGUAGAUAUCGAGAGGAACACCGGUGGCGAAGGCGGCCUUCUGGACAGCAACUGACGCUGAGACGCGAAAGCGUGGGGAGCAAACAGGAUUAGAAACCCCCGUAGUCC